Molecule: long non-coding RNA, 4297 nt
Filed under: Taeniopygia guttata (zebra finch)
Lineage: Eukaryota; Metazoa; Chordata; Aves; Passeriformes; Estrildidae
Description: lncRNA (ENSTGUG00000027635.1)
Source: RNAcentral
AAUAUUCUAUUUCUUCAGCAAUAAAUGCUCCUUUUCCCAAAGUGCUAGUUCAGAAUGGAGAAAAACAUUCAGUUUUGAAAUGCCUCAAUGAAAUUUAAUUUUUGGUUUGAAUCAACAGCUUCACUCGUUGCCAUUUUAAUGCUAUUUUAUGCUGAAAUGUCAAUUGGAAACUAACAUUUUAAAAUGUCAAAACAUUUCACGUCUGCAGACGGUACCGAUAGUUUUUUGCUUCCAUGUGUCCAAACAGAAAAUGCUUUUGGAAUUUUACCAUGGAAAGGAAAAAAAAAAAAUUUAAAAAUAUACAUAUAUAUAAAUCAAUAUUUUGACUUAUUGGAAUGAAAACAAAGUUAAAAUACAGUAUUUCCUCUAGGAUGCAAACAAUAUUUUCUGACAAGCUGUAAUCACCAAAAAGAAAUCUGAGCCAAAUAUUUGCUACCACGGUCUGUUAUAGCUUGAUGGCAAGAGAAAAGAAAGAGAUUUUUGAUAUUGUAGCCUCUCUGAACCCUUUUUUGCCAAUUAUUUCCAGUCUGCAGGAAGCUCCUUCCACCACACAGAACCAUUUCCAAAGCACUGAUUUUCCUUAAUGGUGGGGAAAACAGCCUCAAAAAAUCAUGGUUCUCCUCUAAAAAAGGAGAAUUUGGGGGAGAUUUGAAUUUUGGGGGGAUUUUCCCUGUAUUUUGCACUGAUGACACCUUACCCCCACCAGUUUGGGGAAAGUGGGGAGGAAAUGGAACUGGAAGAUUUUUACUACACUUCUGCAGGGAACACGUGCACAGGGUUUGGGGGUUUUAUCCAAUGUAAAUGCAAUUAUCCAGUGAUCUAACCUUUUAAAUUCCUGCCUUGCCCAUGCAUUACCAAAAAAACAAAUGGAAAAAAAUAGGAUAAUAAAGCAAAUAGAAGACAAGCAAUGUGGGGCAGCCACAGUAAAAAAAAAAAAAAAAAAAAAUUGAAUUUUACAUAUUUUUCUGGUUCCAGAGGCAGGGUGUAAACAUACAGAGCUGGAAAAUGGGAUGAAAACUGGUAGUUUUGGUAGUUUUUAUCAGCCAAGUUUCUUGUUGCAAAGCUCACAGCUCCAUCAUCCUCGAGGGCGCAGCUCAGCCACCCUCCAUCACCUUUACAUCUCCUCCAAAUUUCUAUUUUUCUCUUUUUCUUCCUGUGCCCAGGCUACAGCCCCGCGCGGGGAAUAAGCGCAAUUAUCUCGUCUCGCCACAUUUUUCCAGCUCUGCCUGAGGUUUAAUUAAAGCCAAGAGAAAAACACAGAGGAGCAGCACUGGGUUCUGCUAUCGCCCCACCACAUGUGGCAGGGAGAGGGGGAAAAAUGGGGGGGAAAAAACACAUAGAGAAAAAAAAAAAUAAGAAAAAAACACCACCUCCUUCAUUGUCGACUUUUUAAUUUAGUAAAGCUUCCUGGAUAUUGCUCCCUUAUCACAUUGCCUUUAAAUAUAUAUACAUAUAUAUAUAAAUAUAUAUAUGUAGCUAUGCAGGUGUCCAUGAAUAUAUAUGGACAGUAGAAUAUGCACACAGCCUAUCUCUAUAAAAAAUAUAUAUAAAGUGUAGCCUAAUCCCCUGUAAUCUCCUUGAAUUACACCUCAACCACCCUCCUCACAGGUGACCUUUCCACAAAAGGCUGUUUCUAUGCCAACAGCAUUGUUUGAGUCAGGCAAGAGAAAAAACACGGCACAAUAAUCUGUAAUUUUUCCUUAAUUCGGUGUUUUCACCCACGGUUAGGAGCCAGUUGAUGCUAGAAACACCCUGAUCACAGGAAAAGAAUAGUAUUAAAAAUUAAUUCAUAUCAAUUAUUUGAAUAUGAAGGGAAGAGGGAUGUAACCUUGGCCCAAUCUAGAUCUUGUCUAAAUUUCUGGAAUUGUUUUUUCAGUGUAAUUCCCCUCAUUUGGGGGCUUAGGAGCAAAAUCCAGUUUUAAGGCCCUUUCCUUGAAAUCUGCAUUUCUCUCUCCUGUUCCAUCUCAUCUUGCCAACACAAUCCACAGGUAUCGGUUUCUACCAACAAGUCCAUUUAUGGAAAAGUCACAAAAUCUCAAUUUUUUUCCAUUUUUACUGUUUUUUUGAGGAAUUCCACCAAGUAGUUCAUCUCCAGCGGAAUAAAAAAAAUAAAACUACAAUGCAUAACAAAUCUGAAAACCUUGAGAAGUUGUUAUAACAUGAACCAAAACAGCAAACAAUGUCAGGUAAUAAGUGGCUAUGAGAUUUGACUGAGCAAAAGCAGCUCAAUAUAAAUAAUUUUCCAGAGAAAAAGACUCUUUUGGGUCUAGAUAAUGUUACUGCAUUUAAAAUUUGGGAUCUUUUCCCUCACUUUUUUCAAUUCCUGGAGUUCCAACUCAGCCCAUAAAGCUCAUCCCAAAGCAGAAACUCUAACAGCGAUACAGAGAAUGAAAAAUUAGAUUUUUUCCAACAGAAGUUUCGGUUUUUUGGUGUAUUUUGGAGAGUGGCACAAGGACCCAUUGACUGUUGGGUUGAAGCAUCCCCAAAAUUGUCUUUUUCUGGCUUGUUGAGAGACAACAAACUCCAAAUUCCUGAAUAUUCUUCUUAUUGGCUGGUAGGGAAUUAUUUCUGUUUUUCUUCUGACCCAACCCCAACAUCUUCAUGGGUCCCAGAGGGAAAAUAUUUCCCAACAGAUCCAUCUCACAAGCGCUGAACCAAGAGGAUAAAAAUACCGGUUGCCAUGGGAACAUAAACUCUGGAGUUUGAAAAUACCAGAAUUAAACCUUACACUAAUUUCGAUCCUUAAAUCCCUGUUUUCGCAUCUGUGUUUUGGUGGGUUUGAGGGUUUUGGAGCAAAAAACCAGAAUUUCAAGACCUCUGCCAGGGUUUCACAUCAUUACAGAUAUCUUCCCACAGCUGGAUGCAUCUCCAAGCCAGGAAUAGAUUGAAAAAUUUUAAAAUUUAAAUACAGAGUUAAUUUUAAGACAGAAAUUAUUUUCUAAUUUAAUAACAAUUUUAUAAUUUAAUAAGAUACAUUACUCUCUAAUUCAAUAAUCUAGAUGACUUUUAAAUUAAAAACAAGGAAUAGUCCCAGCUUGUGGAAUCACCUCUCACCAUCCAGCUUUGGAAUCUGCCCCAUGAAUAAUUCCUGGAAUCAGGGUAAGGAAUUGAUCAUCCAGGGCCAAGAGAUACAAAAUUUGUUUCUGCAUCUUUUUUUAAUAAAAAAAAGCUUCUGAGAUUAAUUUUAUUUGCUCAAAAUAUACUGAAAUCCGUUAAGAAAUAUUAAAUAAUAAUAAUAAUAAUCAGGCCCCAGAGCUAAUGAUGCUCAGGCAGAGAAUUCCCUGUUCAGUGGCAGCAAGAGCUUCAAAAAGGUUUAAUGCAACUUUUAGAGUUGGUCUUAAGUAAAAUUGCUCAGACAAAACAGGGAAAAGCCACACUCCAAGGAAAAUAAAUAAUGUUUUACUCAUUAAUAAGGAGUAAAUUUGGGACCACCAGCACAGGGAACGGUCAGCUGGCAAAGCUGAGUGAUAAUAAAAGGAUCAUGAGUGAGAAAGGGACAUCAAAAUUCCUCAUCACAAAGGAAGAUUCCAGCCACUAAUCUUGAGUUUCCAAAGGAAAAAUAGAAGAGGGAAUCCCCUCCCAGUACCAGAAAAACACAAAGUUACUGCAACUAAUUAGUUGGCAACAACAAUAAAAUUAUUUUACACCAGCAUCAGAGAGUGCUGAGGGCUGGAAGGGUUUCCACAGGGCGCUGUGGGUUUGUUGGAUGUUUUUCCAACACGCUCCCAAGCGUUUGGAGCUUUGGCAGAGCUGAAUCAGUUCAACCUCCAUCAGUCUAACAAGGGUUAAGUUUCCUUCAAACACAGUUCAGGCUGAGCUUUGGACUCCCCCCGGUCCCAGCUGCAAAACUUCAGGUGACAGAGACAACGUGACAGAGACAACGUUGGCACCCUGGUGUUGUCACCAAUAACAAUUUCCACUGUUUUCUCCCAGAACAGCGGGGAUGCUGCAUAAUUUCAUUUCUCUAGAGGACCAAGCCAACAAUCCUGCUGCAUUUUGAGUAAAAUCUCAGUUUUGGGGCGUUUGGAUGUUAGUGGGACACUCCGUCGGGUGGAGAAGCAACCGCGGGAAUUUACUUACCCAGGUGACGCUCUCCUUUGGCAGCAAUAUCCCCCAAACCCCGAAAACUGGGGGAAAACAAGCCUGUGGGCCCAAAAAGGGGGUUUUUCACCUCGAAUUCCUAGCUGGAAGAAGAGGCCUGGCUUCUUGCAUGCCUCCACAUUAAAAAAAAAACCAUUAAAAAAAGCACGAAAAAGCAAAAAGUAACGAAAAGCAAGAAAAAGCGGAGGAAAAGCAA